CAGCUCGGAGCAGCUGUGCCUGCUGUGAGCCCUGGGGCCACUGCUCCCGCUGCCGGCCCGGGACGAAGCUGAGAAAAGUCAACGCAAAGGGCGAGCUAAAGGGACGGCAGCAACGCUGAGAUGCGGGAUGCUUCUGCCAGCUGCCUGGUGUGAGGCACCAGGGCAGACUCGUGUUUUUGGGGCUCACUCCCAUUUAAAAUGUGCCUCUGUAAAAGCAGCAUUUCACGGUGGGCGCUAUACGGAGCGUAACCUGCCGCUGACUCUUGCAAGGUGUUUCUGGAGCUGAAAGAGGUGCAAUGAGCCGGAGUGACACGAAGGAGUUAAUUGUAUGGAUUUUGCUAACCCUCCAGUAGCUGCUGAUUAACCCAGAUAUUGUAGUGCUUAUCAGUGUCACUUCCAGGGCAUUGCUGGUGAAGCAUUUAUCUUUUUAACUUGCUUGUGCUCCCUGCUCCUGCCUGCGUCAGAAGCACAACAGGGCACGGAAAGCAAAGCAGAGGCUCAGACUGAACGAAAACGGAGAGCGCUGAGAAAAGAUGGAGGGGCUGGACACUGCCAGGACAAUAGACAAAGCUGCACUGCUUAUGAUAAAGUCCGUGGUGAUCAAAUGCAAAAGAAAAGCAAAGCCCUGGAGGGGAAGGAUGCCAUAACCAGUACCAGAAGGAGAGGACCUUCCAGGAGGCAGUGGAGUGGGAUGAGUGGCUCACCGGUGUCCCUGAAGGAACUAUGUCUUGGAGAGGCAGCCUGGGAGGGCCGGCAGCUUGGUAAGCAUUCAAAUGCACAUGGGUGUGCCUGUAUACUGACAACAAAACUUACCUCAUGGCUGGGAUUAACCUAUUUAAAAUGCCAAUCUCUGUACUCUUAAAUAGUCACUAUGAUGUUUACUGUCCUUCCAGAAGAGGAGCAGGAGAGAAUUAUUCCUGGAAAGAUGGUGGUACCCUUUGCCAAGUCCCACUGACACCGCGUAGUUCUCUGGGGAAGAACAGCAGUGUGAAAUUGAGGCUUCUGUUCCUAUAAACAUCCACAUUUGUAUGCUGUGAGUGUAGCAGUCAUUUUGGCGGUGUUCUAGUAAAGGAUUAAAAAAUAAUUAGGAUUUAUAUAUGUUCAAAAGGAAGGGGCACAGUGCAGUGAGUCACAAGGAGGUGAUUAAGUCAGGUUGUCUGACUCUUCCUAUACUGACAGCAGUAUGUCUGAGGGUUUAGGAAAAUAGCUGAUAGCCUAUUACCGUGAUGAAGUGUAGUUUAAAACUACAUUUUAUAUUUUAGAGGACUAACAGACAAGGUCCCUACGGAUUGUUCCAUAUUACAUAAAAUGGCUAUAGAAACUGAACCA
RNAcentral lists this long non-coding RNA (1329 nucleotides) under Struthio camelus australis. Its description in RNAcentral is "lncRNA (ENSSCUG00000014263.1)". Lineage: Eukaryota; Metazoa; Chordata; Aves; Struthioniformes; Struthionidae. The record is from RNAcentral.